GGACCCGCACAAGCGGUGGAGCAUGUGGUUCAAUUCGAUGCAACGCGAAGAACCUUACCUGGCCUUGACAUCCUCGGAACUUGGCAGAGAUGCCUUGGUGCCUUCGGGAACCGAGAGACAGGUGCUGCAUGGCUGUCGUCAGCUCGUGUCGUGAGAUGUUGGGUUAAGUCCCGCAACGAGCGCAACCCUUGUCCUUAGUUGCCAGCACUUCGGGUGGGCACUCUAAGGAGACCGCCGGUGACAAACCGGAGGAAGGUGGGGAUGACGUCAAGUCAUCAUGGCCUUUAUGGCCAGGGCUACACACGUGCUACAAUGGCCGGUACAAAGGGUUGCCAACGCGCAAGCGGGAGCCAAUCCCAGAAAGCCGGUCGUAGUCCGGAUCGGAGUCUGCAACUCGACUCCGUGAAGUCGGAAUCGCUAGUAAUCGCGAAUCAGCAUUGUCGCGGUGAAUACGUUCCCGGGUCUU
Molecule: ribosomal RNA, 466 nt
Filed under: uncultured bacterium
Lineage: Bacteria
Description: bacterial SSU rRNA
Rfam family: Bacterial small subunit ribosomal RNA
Source: RNAcentral